UGCGUAGGUGGCAUGGUAAGUCGGAUGUGAAAUCCUGGGGCUCAACCCCGGAACUGCAUUCGAUACUGCUGCGCUAGAGUACUGGAGAGGAGAUUGGAAUUUACGGUGUAGCAGUGAAAUGCGUAGAUAUCGUAAGGAAGACCAGUGGCGAAGGCGGAUCUCUGGACAGUUACUGACACUGAGGCACGAAGGCCAGGGGAGCAAACG
This 207-nucleotide ribosomal RNA is filed under the name uncultured bacterium. RNAcentral describes it as "partial 16S ribosomal RNA". It matches the Rfam family "Bacterial small subunit ribosomal RNA", at positions 568 to 774 of the family's 1533-position model. The record is from RNAcentral.